ACGUUGAUAGGCUGGGUGUGGAAGUGCAGUAAUGCAUUAAGCUAACCAGUACUAAUUGCCCGUACGGCUUGUCCCU
Duganella sp. Leaf126 is the source of this 76-nucleotide ribosomal RNA. It matches the Rfam family "Bacterial large subunit ribosomal RNA", at positions 2850 to 2925 of the family's 2925-position model. Lineage: Bacteria; Pseudomonadati; Pseudomonadota; Betaproteobacteria; Burkholderiales; Oxalobacteraceae. The record is from Rfam.